Molecule: ribosomal RNA, 461 nt
Filed under: uncultured bacterium
Lineage: Bacteria
Description: partial 16S ribosomal RNA
Rfam family: Bacterial small subunit ribosomal RNA
Source: RNAcentral
GAUGAACGCUGGCGGCGUGCCUAAAACAUGCAAGUCGUGCGGCAGCAUGCCCUUCGGGGUGAUGGCGAGCGGCGGACGGCUGAGUAACACGUGGGAAUCUGCCCCGAAGUGAGGGAUAACUGCUCGAAAGAGUAGCUAAUACCGCAUAUGGUCUACGGAUUAAAGCUUCGGCGCUUCGGGAGGAGCCCGCGUAAGAUUAGAUAGUUGGUGAGGUAAUGGCUCACCAAGUCGACGAUCUUUAACUGGUUUGAGAGGAUGAUCAGUCAGACUGGAACUGAGACACGGUCCAGACUCCUACGGGAGGCAGCAGUUAGGAAUAUUCCACAAUGGGGGCAACCCUGAUGGAGCAACGCCGCGUGGAGGAUGAAGGCCUUCGGGUUGUAAACUUCUUUUCUAUGCGAAGAAUAUGACGGUAACAUAGGAAUAAGGGUCUGCUAACUACGUGCCAGCCGCCGCCGUAA